CAAUGUAAGAUAUUUUUGCAAUGUCUGUGACUCUCCGACACUCAAAUACUUGCACGACAAAGUCUCUCAUCUACAAAAAAGUCAGAUCCCCCUUGAAAUUGUUGAAGCAUUGGGAACGUGCCUAAAAAAGAACAACGAACUGUUCCCUGUAUUAUCUAAGAUCUACGACAUUCUGAGCUACCAUGACUCGAAAUGGAAGACCUUAUACGAUAAAAUAGAUGAAAUUCGUAGCCUCCAUACAAGAACUCCUGAAAACGGAAAAGAAACCUUAUUCCAUUCCAUCAGGGAAAUGAAGCAAGGCAUUUUUAAUCUCUCGUCUAUUCUCCUUAAUAAUCAUGGAGAUUCUGUUAAGGUCCAGAUACACGACUCAUCAAGGGAAGAGCUCGCAAAGGAAAUGGGUGAUCUCCGAAAAAGUGUUAACCAAAUGGCACUUUCCAUCGACAAUUUAACUUCUAAUACCCGGUUUACAUGCAGCCACUGCCGCUGCUACUUGCGCUGCCCACUUCAUGCCCCAAAUAACUCCAGGCAGAUUUUAAUUAAAAGUAAAUAAGCAAGUAACUAUUUACAUGCAGCUCGCAUCUACCUGCCACUACCCGAAUUAUUUGUGCGCAUUAUUCUGCGGCAGUAUGGAGGAUGAAGAUGUUUUUGUGGCGACAGCGCUUUCCGUUUUAAAUGUACAAAAUUAUUUAAAUGUGUUAAGAUAUGCUAUGGAAAAGAAACGUCGACGUCGAAAAAGACGAUGGUGGAUGACAGCGAUUCAUCGUAAUAGAACGUUAACAAGUAUGAAUAACUUUUUUAAUGAUCUGACAUGUGAGGAAUCGGGAGAAUUUUUUAACUUUUGCCGAAUGUCCCGAAUAGACUUUGAAUUUCUGCUUAAUAAAAUUGAGCCCAUGAUCAAAAGAGAAACUAAAAUAAGGGUUCCAAUACUACCGAAAAUGCGCUUGGCAAUAACAUUGCGAUAUUUGGCCACUGGGGACAGUUACAAAAGUUUACAUUAUUUAUUUAAAGUUUCAACGGCAGCAAUUUCGCUGAUUGUACCUGAAGUUUGUGGAGCAAUUAAUUCAAUUUUAAAGAACCAAAUUAAGUUGCCAGAUACACCAGAGCAAUGGUUAGCAAUAGAAAAGGGAUUCAGAAAAAAAUUUCCCCGAUGUGUCGGAGCCAUUGAUGGCAAACACAUCGUUAUUAAAUGUCCACCACAUACUGGUUCCGAAUAAUAUAACUAUAAAGGCACGUAUAGCAUAGUUUUGAUGGCUUUAGUUGAUAACGAUUAUAAAUUUAUUUUUGCCGACGUAGGUGGUCAAGGGCGUAUUAGCGAUGGGGGUAUUUUUCAAACCUGUCUCUUGUGGAAAAAAAUUGACACAAAUCAACUUAAUUUACCACCAGAUGUCCCAUUGCCUGGUAGAGAAACUAGUACGCCUUAUGUGUUUUUAGGCGAUGGGGCUUUUGCAUUACAUAAGAAUGUGAUGAAACCUUUUCCAGGAAAUCAUGACAUGGACACUAAAGAAAGAAUAUUUAAUUAUAAACUUUCAAGCAGUCGCGUCAUUGUUGAAAAUACUUUCGGUGUCUUGACAUCUGUCUUUAGAGUAUUUAAAAAACCCAUUGAAAUAGAUGUAAGCAAGGUACCGAAAAUAACAUUAACUUGUAUUUUGUUGCAUAACUUCUUAAGAAGAAGCCAACAUUCUCGAAAUUCCUACACCCCUCUAGGGACUUUUGAUGCCAUUGAGGACGGAGUACUUAUUGAAGGCUCCUGGAGACAACAAAAUACAGGUGUAUCUGCCAUAAGAAAUAUACCACAUGUAGCCAGACGAGCUCCAGCUACCGCAAUGCAAGUUAGAUCGGAAUUUGCCGAUUAUUUCAAUAAUGUUGAAUUGUAAUUUAAAAACACCCAACAUUUUUAAAGAUUAAAUUUUUUAAAACAGUAAA
Molecule: long non-coding RNA, 1923 nt
Organism: Anthonomus grandis grandis
Lineage: Eukaryota; Metazoa; Arthropoda; Insecta; Coleoptera; Curculionidae
Exons: 3
Source: RefSeq, a predicted model, not a curated record